RNAcentral lists this transfer RNA (73 nucleotides) under Actinia tenebrosa (Australian red waratah sea anemone). Its description in RNAcentral is "tRNA-Ala". It matches the Rfam family "tRNA". From Rfam's summary of the family: Transfer RNA (tRNA) molecules are approximately 80 nucleotides in length. Their secondary structure includes four short double-helical elements and three loops (D, anti-codon, and T loops). Further hydrogen bonds mediate the characteristic L-shaped molecular structure. tRNAs have two regions of fundamental functional importance: the anti-codon, which is responsible for specific mRNA codon recognition, and the 3' end, to which the tRNAs corresponding amino acid is attached (by aminoacyl-tRNA synthetases). tRNAs cope with the degeneracy of the genetic code in two manners: having more than one tRNA (with a specific anti-codon) for a particular amino acid; and 'wobble' base-pairing, i.e. permitting non-standard base-pairing at the 3rd anti-codon position. The record is from Rfam by way of RNAcentral. Lineage: Eukaryota; Metazoa; Cnidaria; Anthozoa; Actiniaria; Actiniidae. RNAcentral also lists the same sequence under 1 other name.
GGCUUCAUAGCUCAGUUGGUAGAGCAUCGCACCGGCAUCACGGAGGUCAUGGGUUCGAUUCCCGUUGAAGCCU